CAAUAUUCGUCAGUUCAUAUUUGGCUCCAACUUUAAAUCGAGAUUGACAAACUAUAAUGUUAUUGGAGGAGUGCCUGAACGGCACGUCAGCGCCAUCUUUUAGUAAAGGAGCUGUCUUCCAAUGCUACUAAUCUAAUUGAAAAUGAAGAAGUGGUGAUGAAGAAGCAACACUUGACGCAAAUUCAAAUAUCAUCUGCUUUGAAUUGAACUUCAUACACUAGGAGUGGUAAAAAAGAGAGGAAAAACAUGAAAUAAUUGAAACUUGUUGACCGGAAAGUAUUGUCAUCCAUUUUUGAAGGGUUGAGAAUAGUGGAAUUUUGUAGGUUAUGAAGCUCAUGUAUCUAAUCUUUAUAUUUUGAUGAUGAAAAAUAAUAUAUAACUUAUUUUCAUAUAUGCGUAUUUUUUAGUUUGUGAAAAUAUAGUUGUUUAGCUAGUUGUUUA
Olea europaea var. sylvestris is the source of this 441-nucleotide long non-coding RNA. RefSeq lists it as uncharacterized. The record is from RefSeq and is a predicted model, not a curated record. Lineage: Eukaryota; Viridiplantae; Streptophyta; Magnoliopsida; Lamiales; Oleaceae. The transcript is spliced from 2 exons.